This 484-nucleotide ribosomal RNA is filed under the name uncultured bacterium. RNAcentral describes it as "partial 16S ribosomal RNA". It matches the Rfam family "Bacterial small subunit ribosomal RNA", at positions 30 to 507 of the family's 1533-position model. The record is from RNAcentral.
AUUGAACGCUGGCGGCAUGCUUUACACAUGCAAGUCGAGCGGCUGAGCGGAGUUUGCCCUUGCGUCCAGCGGCGGACGGGUGAGUAAUGCCUAGGAACCUGCCUGGUAGUGGGGGAUAACGUCCGGAAACGCGCGUUAAUACCGCAUACGUCCUGAGGGUGAAAGUGGGGGACCUUCGGACCUCACGCUAUCAGAUGAGCCUAGGUCGGAUUAGCUAGUUGGUGGGGUAAAGGCCUACCAAGGCGACGAUCCGUAGCUGGUCUGAGAGGAUGAUCAGUCACACUGGAACUGAGACACGGUCCAGACUCCUACGGGAGGCAGCAGUGGGGAAUAUUGGACAAUGGGCGAAAGCCUGAUCCAGCCAUGCCGCGUGUGUGAAGAAGGUCUUCGGAUUGUAAAGCGCUUUUAGUUGGGAGGAAGGCCAGUAAGCUAAUACCUUGGUGUGAUGACGGUACCAAAAGAAUAAGCACCGGCUAACUACGUG